CUGAGGAGACUACUUGUUCUGAGCUACGUUUCCUGCCUUGUCUGUUCUGCGAGGGUUCUGAUGCUUUGGCCUGUGUUGUAGCUGUUGUGUCCAAUGUUGUAAACUGCCUGGGUUUUAAUGCUUUCAAGAUGGUGUGCUCCAUCUCACCCUGAGUUUCACCAAAGUCAGCGCAAUCAGUUGCAUUUCUUCAUUGGUGCUAGCAAGAGGUCUUUUGAAAGCCACAAAGAAGAUGCUAACAUUUUACAGCAGCGGUGGUUACUACUUUAUGGACCUCUUCUAAGUCCUUAAGGCUUCCUUUUCUUUUCAUCAAUGAAGUUUCAAUGGACGACAUUCUCUGAAUCAGAAAUUCACAGAAAUUGUAUCAGAAAUUCACUGCACAAUGAAGGACCAGACACCAUAAGGCUAUAGGCAAGUCCACUCUGUGGUCAUAGGACAGGAACAUAGAUAUCCAUGCUAGCUUUAAACUGUCUCCCUUGAUAAACAGUACAGGUCUAGGCACCAUAUGGAUUGGCGCGAGCUAAGGUAACCUACUAAGAAAAGUCUGCAGAAUAGGUGCGCACCAAAUCCUGCAAAACCUUAUUUGACAGAGAGUUACCCUGUGCAGUAAUUUUGAGGGUCCCUGUUUAGAUCAGGAUCCUCAGACCUGGAAGAUCACUGCUGGGCAAAAAAGCGAAAACUCGUACCAUCUCUGAUGCACAAUGAUUUGUAAGCCUUUAGGUGUGAGCUGUCU
Molecule: long non-coding RNA, 730 nt
Organism: Tyto alba (common barn owl)
Lineage: Eukaryota; Metazoa; Chordata; Aves; Strigiformes; Tytonidae
Exons: 5
Source: RefSeq, a predicted model, not a curated record